GAGUCCCAGCCCAGUGUGAGAAAGCCUUAGACACAGACAUGUUCUCCACCACAUUCUGACCCCACGUGGUUUUCACUUUAAUUCUCCUAAAGCCCCGCCCUUGGUCCUCCUUUUCCAGGUAUCCCAUCCGUCUGUCCAGUUUUCUGCCCAUCCAUCUGUCUCUCCUCCGAGUUCAGUCUCUCUUGUUCACCUAUCUCUCUCUCUUGGGCUGCUCUCAUCCACAGGCUUGCUCAUCCCUCUACUCACACAGUCACCCCUCCCCUCACUCUCAUUUAUGCUUCACCUGUGAAUGGUGGUCCUGGGACAGCCACUGCUGGAGCCCGGGUGAGCCUGGGGGCUCCUCCCACUCUGUCCCUCCCUGAUGACAGCCCUCGCCACAGCUCCCGAGCCGGCCACCACGUCCCUGCAUACUUCAUCAUCACCUGUGCCACCAGAAGCCACCACAGCUUUGGGGCACAACCUGAAGUCCCUCACAGUCACCUUCCCCAUCUCCACCCUCAAGUAUUCAUCAGACAGGAGCAACGGCUCAGCCACGUUCAACUCCACUGAGAGGGUCCUGCAGAGCCUGGCCUGAAAAGGAUGGGGAAGCCAGCAGUGUGGACGCUGUCUGCACCUACCAUCCUGACCCCGUGGGCCACCAUGCCUCUGUGCUGGGAACGGAGAGUCUCCACCUGUCUGCUCUUCCUCUCGGUGGCUCCAGGCUCUGCAGCACAGAGUUUAUCCAUCCAGAGAGAGCACCAGCUACAUUUCCACAUCAUCAGCUGGAACCUCAGCAAC
Molecule: RNA transcript, 777 nt
Organism: Diceros bicornis minor
Lineage: Eukaryota; Metazoa; Chordata; Mammalia; Perissodactyla; Rhinocerotidae
Gene name: mucin-16-like
Exons: 3
Source: RefSeq, a predicted model, not a curated record